RNAcentral lists this small nuclear RNA (88 nucleotides) under Canis lupus familiaris (dog). RNAcentral describes it as "U2 spliceosomal RNA (multiple genes)". It matches the Rfam family "U2 spliceosomal RNA". Rfam says of the family: U2 is a small nuclear RNA (snRNA) component of the spliceosome (involved in pre-mRNA splicing). Complementary binding between U2 snRNA (in an area lying towards the 5' end but 3' to hairpin I) and the branchpoint sequence (BPS) of the intron results the bulging out of an unpaired adenosine, on the BPS, which initiates a nucleophilic attack at the intronic 5' splice site, thus starting the first of two transesterification reactions that mediate splicing. The record is from Rfam by way of RNAcentral. RNAcentral also lists the same sequence under 3 other names. Lineage: Eukaryota; Metazoa; Chordata; Mammalia; Carnivora; Canidae.
AUCGCUUCUUGGCCUUUUGGCUAAGAUCAAGUGUAGUAUCUUAGAGCUGUCGAGAUUGUAAAAAACAAGGAAAGAAUGAGAAACUGUC